UUUGGUUGCCAGGGUUGGUUGGAUUCCUUCCCUGGGCAGGGACGUUUGGCCCUACGUUCCUUUUCAAUUUUUGUUCCCUUCUUGGGCGGCCUGAUUGGUUUCCUGUGNUGCGUACCUACUAUUGACGGUAUUCGGUUGGCUACAUUUCCCUAGUUCGCCUUAUGCUUCCCGUUGAUUCGGUGCGGGCUGCGGGUGAUCCCUCAAGCGUGCUUUGUGUUCCCCGGCAGAACUCGUCAGUCGUUGUUUUGUCGUGGCGCGCAAAUUUUCGCUCGGGCUCUAGGAUGCGGAAUAUGCAACGGACACGGGGUCCUCGGCCCCUAUAAACCUCGAAAGCUAUAUGCUCACAAGAACGACGUCCGGUUUUUAGAGGGCGGCUCGUCGCGCGGCCCGGUGUCAGUGAGGAAUGUUACCUGGUGAUCCUGCUCAGUAGUCAUAUGCUUACCC
RNAcentral lists this unclassified non-coding RNA (444 nucleotides) under Knoxia platycarpa. RNAcentral describes it as "partial external transcribed spacer". The record is from RNAcentral. Lineage: Eukaryota; Viridiplantae; Streptophyta; Magnoliopsida; Gentianales; Rubiaceae.